ACACAUUCUAGAGCCUAAUUCAUUUCAAUUAACAAUUAAAAUUACACUCAAAUCCAAAUUUUAAACCUUAAUGCUAAAGUUCAUCCUCAAAUAAAUUUAUUGUAAUCCAUCACUACUUCAAUAAGCUGCACCUUGAUCUGAUUUAUAAUAUAGUAAUAUAUUCAAAUUAUAUAUUUCCAAAAAUAAUUAACAACGACGAUAUACAAGCAAAAUUAAAGUUUUAUUAAUCGUGGAUUAUCGAUUACAGGACAGAUUCCCCUGAUUGGAAUAAAAAACCGCCAAAUUUUUUGAUUUUAAAGAACAUAACUUAUACUUAUCAGGUCUACUAUUCCACACCUAGAAUAAUGGGGUAUCUAAUCCCAGUUUAUUGUCUAGAUUUCUUAAUCCUCACAACCAAAAAUUUAAUUAAAUAAAAAAUAGGAUUUCACCCAAUAUUCCACUAAAAUAAAAAUUAAUUCUCACUAAUUAAGUAUAUUAACCGAAAAAAAAUAGUAGCAUUAUUUGUUUAACCGCA
This 514-nucleotide ribosomal RNA is filed under the name Dematochroma difficilis. Its description in RNAcentral is "partial 12S ribosomal RNA". The record is from RNAcentral. Lineage: Eukaryota; Metazoa; Arthropoda; Insecta; Coleoptera; Chrysomelidae.